This is an RNA transcript of Trifolium pratense (red clover), 1312 nucleotides long. It is a transcript of the gene named proton pump-interactor 1-like, with no coding region annotated. NCBI's taxonomy places the organism in Eukaryota, Viridiplantae, Streptophyta, Magnoliopsida, Fabales, Fabaceae. The transcript is spliced from 4 exons. The record is from RefSeq and is a predicted model, not a curated record.
AAUUAUUUGAAGCUUCAUGGGAGCAAAAGUUUGGCUGAGGAGAAACAAGUUCUGAGGGAUAUAAAGAUUCAACAGAAAAAUGUUGCUUCAUUCAAAUCACUAGAAGUGCUUAAGGAAACAUUAUCAUGUAACGGAGGAAAUACAUUCUUUUAUCAAAAACAUAAAAACUUGGAGGAGAAGAUGAGACAGAGAUAUCACUUAAAUGAUCGGCAGAAGCUCGUGAUAGAAAUUGAACAAUUCCAAAACCAACAUAUGGAAAGAGCUUCCAAGUAUGACUCCUUGAAGAAAAGUAUAAAAGACCAAAUCAAGCUUCUAUGUGAUGAAGACUAUUUAGGAAACAGAAGAAAGUGUAUGGAAUGUGGGAUCAGAAUUAGAAAUGGUGUGAAAAAAUUAGAAGCCAUAAAUGCAGAAUUGAAUUCUUUGAGAGCAAAAUUGUCAGAGAAUUAUAAGAAAAAGUAUCGAGCAUAUCAAAGGAUUUUGAAUUUGAAACAAUUGUAUCUUGAGGAGGUAAGAUUUAAAGACCACAUUUAAUAUAUUUGCAUGUAGAAGCUCACGAUCCUAUUCGUUUUCGCAGUUGAAACUUGAGACGGCGAUCUAAUUGGUGUCAGUUUUACAAUUACAAGAGAAAACAAAUGAGUUAAGUUUUGAAAGACACAUUUGUUUGCUAUUACUUUUGACAAACUGAUAUCGAUCAAGUCAUUGUCUCAGAUGAACGAGGAUCACGAACUUCUACUUCAAAAGACUGAUAUUAGUAAUAAUUAGAAUUUCAGACGAUUUUUAAUUACUGAUCGACAGUAGACCAUCAAACACGUAGAACUUGCCAUAUUUUAUAUGUUAAUUUUAAAAUUUUAGACUAUCGACUAUUAUCAACAUUGUUCGUAUAUAAAUAAAGUCCAUCAGCUGGCUGAAGAAAAAGAUGUAGCAGCCCUUGGUGAGAUGUCAAUUUCAGAGGUUGGGAAGUUUAUGUUAGAGUGGAACAAUAAUAAGGCUUUUCGAGAAGAUUAUGCGAAGAAUGUUCUGCAAUCAUUAGGGAGACGACAACUAAGUGGAGAUGGGCGUAUAAGACCUGAUAAAUAAUCAUGCUGGAUUAUGAUGCUUUUGUAAUGUUGGGAGCAAAAUUUGGAAGUGUUAAGAGUAAAUGUUAUUCUGUUGAAGUUUCAGAACAGCCUAAUAUUGAGUAUCUCUUCCAUUCUCUUUAUUUAGUUUUGACAACUUAAAGUAGUAAGAGUUUUACAUUGUAACUUAUGUAACUUAAAGAAAACACUUUUGUAACGACCGACAUCUGAAUGAUAUACAAAGGGAUUAUAUAGCA